This 253-nucleotide ribosomal RNA is filed under the name uncultured bacterium. RNAcentral's name for it is "partial 16S ribosomal RNA". It matches the Rfam family "Bacterial small subunit ribosomal RNA", at positions 524 to 776 of the family's 1533-position model. The record is from RNAcentral.
UACGGAGGUCCCAAGCGUUGUUCGGAUUCACUGGGCGUAAAGGGUGCGUAGGCGGUCGGGUAAGUCUGACGUGAAAUCUUCAAGCUCAACUUGGAAACUGCGUCCGAUACUAUUCGGCUAGAGGAAUGGAGGGGAGACUGGAAUACUUGGUGUAGCAGUGAAAUGCGUAGAUAUCAAGUGGAACACCAGUGGCGAAGGCGAGUCUCUGGACAUUUCCUGACGCUGAGGCACGAAAGCCAGGGGAGCAAACGGG